RNAcentral lists this ribosomal RNA (261 nucleotides) under uncultured archaeon. RNAcentral describes it as "partial 16S ribosomal RNA". It matches the Rfam family "Archaeal small subunit ribosomal RNA", at positions 748 to 1009 of the family's 1478-position model. The record is from RNAcentral.
CAGCCGUAAACGAUGUGCAUUAGGUGUAUCGGUGACCACGAGUCACCGAGGUGCCGAAGAGAAAUCGUGAAAUGCACCGCCUGGGAAGUACGGUCGCAAGGCUGAAACUUAAAGGAAUUGGCGGGGGAGCACCACAACAGGUGGAGCCUGCGGUUUAAUCGGACUCAACGCCGGGAAACUCACCAGAUAAGACAGCUGAAUGAUAGUCGGGCUGAAGACUCUACUUGACUAGCUGAGAGGAGGUGCAUGGCGUAGACGUCU